GGGGAGCCCAUGUCUAUUAAAGGAACUGGGGUUCCAUGCUCAGCAGGGUACGUGCACCUUGUGCCUCUGAACAAAGAGCAACAGGAAAGUAGAGGCCAGUGCACGGCAUCUUCCUCGCCUCUCUCCGGGCAGAGCUGCCUUAUAGCACAAGCGCAAGUACAGCGAGCUCACGGGAAUUUCCGAGGACGUGGGGGUUCAGGCUGCCAAGACGGAUGUGACCAGCAAGGAGCUUCUAAGGUCUGAAGAUUGGGAAGGUCAAGGGUCAAGCUCUCCUAAGCCCC
This 281-nucleotide long non-coding RNA is filed under the name Equus caballus (horse). RNAcentral's name for it is "lncRNA (ENSECAG00000060381.1)". Lineage: Eukaryota; Metazoa; Chordata; Mammalia; Perissodactyla; Equidae. The record is from RNAcentral.